RNAcentral lists this ribosomal RNA (489 nucleotides) under uncultured bacterium. Its description in RNAcentral is "partial 16S ribosomal RNA". It matches the Rfam family "Bacterial small subunit ribosomal RNA", at positions 30 to 506 of the family's 1533-position model. The record is from RNAcentral.
AUUGAACGCUGGCGGCAGGCCUAACACAUGCAAGUCGAACGGUAACAGAAAGCAGCUUGCUGCUUUGCUGACGAGUGGCGGACGGGUGAGUAAUGUCUGGGAAACUGCCUGAUGGAGGGGGAUAACUACUGGAAACGGUAGCUAAUACCGCAUAACGUCGCAAGCCCAAAGAGGGGGACCUUCGGGCCUCUUGCCAUCGGAUGUGCCCAGAUGGGAUUAGCUAGUAGGUGGGGUAAAGGCUCACCUAGGCGACGAUCCCUAGCUGGUCUGAGAGGAUGACCAGCCACACUGAAACUGAGACACGGUCCAGACUCCUACGGGAGGCAGCAGUGGGGAAUAUUGCACAAUGGGCGCAAGCCUGAUGCAGCCAUGCCGCGUGUAUGAAGAAGGCCUUCGGGUUGUAAAGUACUUUCAGCGGGGAGGAAGGGAGUAAAGUUAAUACCUUUGCUCAUUGACGUUACCCGCAGAAGAAGCACCGGCUAACUCCGU